RNAcentral lists this long non-coding RNA (602 nucleotides) under Coturnix japonica (Japanese quail). Its description in RNAcentral is "lncRNA (ENSCJPG00005004830.1)". The record is from RNAcentral. Lineage: Eukaryota; Metazoa; Chordata; Aves; Galliformes; Phasianidae.
UCUUAGACAAGGAAUGUCAGUGAGCCCUUAGGCGGUGUUGUUGGGCGAUAGGGCCAGACUUGAGCAUAUGGGAGAAAGAGGAGAAGAAAUACAGAGAAAUGAAGCGUGUUCAAGUUUGGGACGGAGGAAACCAAGCUGAGAUUAAAUGCAUUUUGAAAUAAAUCCUAAGCUCCUACUCGUUCUUUGAACAAAGCUGAUAGAGCGAGCACCAGCAGCCAUGAGGAUCAUAGAAUCACCAAGGUUGGAAAAGACCUAAAAGAUCAUCCAGUCCAAGAGGAUGCCUCUGAGAACUUCAGGUUGCAGAAUCUCCAAAGAGCUCUGUGGUUUUUUAUUAACCGUGUAAGAGAACUGAAAGGUGAAAUUAUGGGUCUGACCUUAAACCAACCCAGCAACCCAAUGAAAAGAUACUUUAUGUGCCAUCAACACAGAUUUUGGAGUGACCUCCAUUGAAGAUGCUGCCAGGCAGCGGCUAAUGCAGCGUCACAACAAAGCCACGACAGCCUUGGUUUUGUCUGAGACUCUUCCACUGCUGGAUAUCCACGUGAGGAGGUGUACUGUAAGAUUCUGACUGAACACUGAACACUACGUGCUGGUAAUUUCAC